ACACUUGCUUGCGUUGCGUCUCCCCUGCACCCACCGCCUGCCUGCCUGUAUAAAUAGGGCGCUGGCACAAGAGGCAGCGGCAGUAGCAGAGGCAGUAGUAGCACAGGUCUCGCAGUUCCAGCUGGACCUCAUCUCUCUCAGGCGAGCGUGCUGAAGGGAGGAGGAGAUGAACGGGGAUCAGGCGUCGCGGUGGGCGGCGGCGCAGGAAGGGGUCGCGGUCGGCGCGGACCUCGCCACGGCGGCGCUCCGGCAGCUGGAGUUUCUCGCGGCGGUAGACCUCCGCCGGUGGCUCUACGAGGGGCCUCUGCUCGAGAGGGCCAUACACAGGUACAAAGCAUGCUGGCUUCCCCUUCUUGCCAAGCACACUCGGGAUGCUGUUGUAGAUGGGCCAUUGGUUGUCCCUCUUGAUUGUGAGUGGAUAUGGCACUGCCAUCGGCUUAACCCGGCUCAGUACAUCAGGGACUGCAAGAAAGUAUAUGGCAGAAUACUGAACAAUGACAAUGUUGAGUCAUCCAUUCGAACAAAAUCGAAGCUUCAGUCGGAGAAAGUUUGGACAGAGUUGUAUCCUGAGGAGCCCUUCGAGUUGGAGUACAAAAGUUCUUCUGACACUGCCAUAGAUGUGAACCCUGGCGCUGCCGAGGGGAUUUCCUAUGAUUUGGUUUCAGCUGUUAAGAGACAAUCUUCUUUCUAUUAUCAGGUUGGCACACCAACCAUGCAUGAUCAGCGUUUUCUUGAAGAAGCGUUAGCUCGAUACAAAGGGUUUUUGUAUCUGAUCAAGAUGAAUCAGGAGAAAGGAAUGCAGCGCUUCCAUGUACCAACCUACGAUGUGGAUCUCAUGUGGCACACUCACCAGCUGCAUCCUGUUACCUACCGCAAUGACAUGUUGAAGCUUCUUGGAAAGGUUCUGGAGCAUGAUGACACCGACUCUGAUCGAUCUGAAGGAAAGAAGCUUGACGUCGGCUUUACUGAGACUGCAGAGCAGUUUGAGAAUACCUUUGGUGUAAGAUACUGUAAGGCCGGCUCUAUGUACCGUGGCAACAUGCCAUCUCCUGUGACAGCCGCGCCCCAGAUGUUUAGUAGCGAGGUUGGAAACGGGUUGAGUAUCUUCAAAGCUGAGAAGCAACUUAAUGUUCUUCAAACAACGGUUGUAGAGUUAUAUUUAAAAAUUGUGGACAUCAAUAAUUUACCAUCUGCAAUUCCAAAGGAAAAUGUGCAUGUAUGGUUCACCAAGAAUCAAUCUGAUAUGUUUAUCAGUGAUGGCGGCAGGCUAGAUAUUUCAACAAAUACUGGGAAGAGUAUUGGAGCUGGUUUUCAAUGUGAACCUACUGGAGAACUUAUUCUGACAGUAAUGGUUGAUCAGGCCUCUAAGAAAUCAGAACCAAUAGGGAAGGUUUCUAUUCCUCUGCAGGAGUUGACAGGGCCUGAUUCUAAGCUCUCCUUCGAGAGGUGGUUUGAACUGAAACCUCAUGGUAGGCAUGCUAGUUCCCCUCCGGUCAGUCUUCGAGUUGCCGCCUCAUCUACUGUCCCAACCAGGGCUCAGCAGGUGCUUAGGAUGAUCAGGAUGGAGCCUUUCUCUUUGAAUACCUGUCUGUUGCCACCUUCCAUCACGGAUCAAAAGAUGGGCAGCAGGAUCCGCUUUGUGUAUGAUUGUGGCACUGAGCUUAUCCGUCUUCAGAUAAGAGAGCACAAGGCAAAGAACGGCAUGGCUUUCAUCCGGGAACUGGUUGGAGUCUCUAAGCCGUCCAAAACGCAAUUUCAGCUAGCAGAAUUCAAGGAAAAUAAGUGGACACUGAAAAACUCCAACUUGUCAAUCGCUGAUGAUGCAAUACCAAGCGACAGCGCCGAUGGCUGUAUGCUCGUGCUCAAAGGUGACAACCAACUGGUCAAACUGUACCGGGGAAGGAGGCUCGAAUACGAACCGAGAUGCUGCAAUCGUCAUUCUCAGAAUGCCUCGGCGGUUACUGCCGUGAAGUUCUGUGCUGAACACCCAUAUGGCAAAGCUGUUGCAUUGCUCGACACUGAGUCCCAGUUCAUCAUGGUGAAUGAAGAUUGGUUCCUGCUUCCCUGGAUUGCGAUAUCAUUCCUGUCCCUUGAUAACACCGAUGGUGGAGACGGUGCAAAGCUCAUUGGUGGCGCCAUGGUUCAGAAAGGGGCAAUGUCUGAGUCUGACGCCACUAUGGUUUCAGAAGCAGUGGCCGUUGGAGGAGUGGGCGCCGCCAUGGCUCCUGCACAAUGCGGCACUUGUGGCACGGCGAGCGGUGGUAACAUGGUCGUGGCGAGCGACAAGGCUGACGAUGCUAGCAUGGCCAUUGGAAGCGGCGAGGAAGCUGAUGCCAAGUGUGGUGGUUGCGGGUCGGGCUGCGGUGCUGGUUGCGGCUCCAUGGUCACCGCGAACUCCAAAGAUGGUCAUGCGAGUUGUGGCACUUGCAGGGCAAUUGUUGGGACCGGCGGCAGUUGCAAAGCCCAUGCCAAGUCUGGAGGCUGCGGUUCCGGGUGCGGCGGCGGCUGUGGGGGCGGCGCCAUGUUCAAUGCGAGCACCAUGGCCGGCCAGGCCAAGCCCGGCGGCUGCGGUUCAGGCUGUGGCGGCGGCUGCGGUGGCGGCGGUAGUUGUGGCGCCAUGUUCAACGCGAGCACCAUGGCCGGCCAGGCCAAGCCCGGCGGCUGUGGCGGCUGCUGCGGCGCUGGCGGCGGUUGCGGAGCCAUGGUCGUUGAAAGCUCCAAGCCCUGCCACACCAGGUCCGCGGGCUGCGGCUCUGGCUGCGGCGGCGGUUGCAGCGCGAUAAUGUUCAACGCGAGCAGCGCUUGCAAGGCCGGCCAGGGCGAGGUCAGGUCCGGAGGCUGCGGGUCAGGCUGCGGCGGCGGUUGCGGUGGCAUGGCCAUCGAGGGCUCCAGUGGCGGCGGCCGCGCCAAGUCCGGAGGCUGCGGUUCAGGGUGCGGCGGUGCGGUGUUCAACGCGAGCGCCUGCAAGACCGGCCAAGAGGCAGAGUCCGCCGGCUGCGGCUCCGGCUGCGGCGGUGGCUGCGGCGGCGGCGGCAUGUUCAACGCGUGAUCCAAGCUGCAGGCCGACGAUUGAGCCAGAGGUGAAGUGAGCUGAGAGUAAAACCCGUGUGCUGUUGCCAUCUUCUACUACAUGAUUCGCCAUUCGUGAGCUCCUCCUGGGGACGAUUGGGAUGGGCGGCUGUGACUGUGAUGAUCAGCUCGUGAGGAGGUCCAAAAACUAGAAAAAGCCAAGCGGUGGUUGUGGCGCCAUGUUCAAGGGUGGUGCAUGGUGGUUAGCAAAGCCGCCGCCGGUGCUUCGGCUAGCCGCUCCUCCAAUGGCCGUGGUCGAGACAGAGUACCGAUGGAUAUACUUGCUCUUUAACAGGCCAAGAAUGAAGAGAACUCGAUCGUGUGCUGUUGCCAUCCGUUACCUGCUGUGGGCCUGUGGCAUUGGCGCGUGUUGAGAAUUGGGAUGCCCUGAGCUUGUAAGAUAAAUAAAUAAACAACCCUGUGUUCGGGAAAGAAAAGGAAAACAUGUGUUGCCGCAGCGGUGUCGCAGUGUCGCUUAUGCUGUGACCUGUGCGAGCCAUGUGGCCAUACGUUGGAAUGGCGUAGUCUGGUGAUGGUGAAUGGUGGCCGGUGGUGAUGCUAUGCUGAAUGGCACGCGUCAUGUCCUUGGCCCAUUUUUCUUUCCACACCUCCUAUUCUUCAAGUGACUGAUUUCUCCAGUUUUUUCAGUUCACAAAGUCCGGCGAGGUUAGCGGCGCAGAUUAACUUCCCAGGGGUUCAUCGGUGCCGGAUUUGGAUUUGGAGAGAGCCGUGGGAGAUAGGCUGGCCUCAAGACGGGAGCAAGGUGAUUCCGGCACGUGGAGGAAGAAACACAGCACGUGUUGACUGGAGGAAGAAGAGACGAGGAGCGUCGUCGGAUGGAAAGCGUGUGGCUUUGCUUGGUCGACCCAAAAACAGGACGUUUUCGGUCUCCUGUAAAAUACUUAUUUCGUUCUCGUUUACUUAUCAACUUUUUAUUAUAGUAAGUUUGACCUUAUGUACAUGGUAUUUUUCACAGCCAGUUUACACGUCGACGUGACCACGUACGUACACAGGCACUCUACGAACGCAAACGCAGAGAGCAC
Molecule: RNA transcript, 4112 nt
Organism: Phragmites australis (common reed)
Lineage: Eukaryota; Viridiplantae; Streptophyta; Magnoliopsida; Poales; Poaceae
Gene name: glycine-rich domain-containing protein 1-like
Exons: 11
Source: RefSeq, a predicted model, not a curated record